UGCGGCAUGGCCGAGUGGUAAGGCGGAGGACUGCAAAUCCUAGCUUGUUCUCCAGUUCGAAUCCGGGUGUCGCUU
Molecule: transfer RNA, 75 nt
Filed under: Spinacia oleracea (spinach)
Lineage: Eukaryota; Viridiplantae; Streptophyta; Magnoliopsida; Caryophyllales; Amaranthaceae
Rfam family: tRNA
About the family: Transfer RNA (tRNA) molecules are approximately 80 nucleotides in length. Their secondary structure includes four short double-helical elements and three loops (D, anti-codon, and T loops).
Source: Rfam by way of RNAcentral